RNAcentral lists this ribosomal RNA (1557 nucleotides) under Cercopithecus petaurista petaurista. RNAcentral's name for it is "16S ribosomal RNA". It matches the Rfam family "Bacterial large subunit ribosomal RNA", at positions 581 to 2925 of the family's 2925-position model. The record is from RNAcentral. Lineage: Eukaryota; Metazoa; Chordata; Mammalia; Primates; Cercopithecidae.
GCUAACACUAGCCCUAAACACAAAAAACACUAAUAUAAGANNNNNNNNNNNNNNNNNNNNNNNNNNNNNNNNNNNNNNNNNNNNNNNNNNNNNNNNNNNNNNNNNNNNNNNNNNNUCGUAAGGGAAAGAAUAGAACUAUCUAAGCACAAAACAGCAAGAACUAACCCCUGUACCUUUUGCAUAAUGAACUAACUAGAAAUAAUUUCGCAAAGAGAACUAAAGCCAAGUCCCCCGAAACCAGACGAGCUACCCGAAAACAGCUAGAAGAGCGCACCCGUCUAUGUGGCAAAAUAGUGGGAAGAUUUACGGGUAGAGGUGACAAGCCUACCGAGCCUGGUGAUAGCUGGUUAUCCAAGAUAGAAUCUUAGUUCAACCUUGAGCUUACCUACAGAACUACUUAAUCUCCUUGUAAACUCAAUUGUUAGUCUAAAGAGGGACAGCUCUUUAGACACUAGGAAAAAACCUUAUAUAGAGAGUAAAAGCCACAGCUACCAUAGUUGGCCCAAAAGCAGCCAUCAAUUAAGAAAGCGUUCAAGCUCAACAUCAAUCACUCGAAAAAUUCCAAACAUAUAACUGAACUCCUCACACCACAUUGGAUUAAUCUAUCACUACAUAGAAGCAACAAUGUUAGUAUAAGUAACAUGAAUAUCUUCUCCACUGCAUAAGCCUAAAUCAGACCGAAAACCUCACCGAUACUUAACAGUCCAGUACUAACAAACACAAACAAGCCAAUUCUACUCUCACUGUUAACCCAACACAGGCAUGCCUCAAGGAAGGUUAAAAAAAGUAAAAGGAACUCGGCAAACCUAACCCCCGCCUGUUUACCAAAAACAUCACCUCUAGCAUUACCAGUAUUAGAGGCACUGCCUGCCCAGUGACACACGUUUAACGGCCGCGGUACCCUGACCGUGCAAAGGUAGCAUAAUCACUUGUUCUUUAAAUAGGGACUCGUAUGAAUGGCACCACGAGGGUUUAACUGUCUCUUACUUUCAACCAGUGAAAUUGACCUGUCCGUGAAGAGACGGACAUGAAGCAAUAAGACGAGAAGACCCUGUGGAGCUUCAAUUUAUUAGUACAACUAAAAACCGUACAAACCAACAGGCCCUAAACCCCUACAUCUGUACUAAAAAUUUUGGUUGGGGCGACCUCGGAGCACAACUAAACCUCCGAAUAAUCCACGCUAAGACUAUACAAGUCAAAGCAAUCUGAUACUUACAAUUGACCCAAUAAUUUGAUCAACGGAACAAGUUACCCCAGGGAUAACAGCGCAAUUCUAUUCUAGAGUCCAUAUCAACAAUAGAGUUUACGACCUCGAUGUUGGAUCAGGACAUCCUAAUGGUGCAGCAGCUAUCAAGGGUUCGUUUGUUCAACGAUUAAAAUCCUACGUGAUCUGAGUUCAGACCGGAGCAAUCCAGGUCGGUUUCUAUCUAUUCUACAUUUCUCCCUGUACGAAAGGACAAGAGAAAUAAGGCCCACUUCACAACAGCGCCCUCACUACAUAAAUGAUUUAAUCUUAAUUUAACAAAAUACCACACACCCCACCCAAGAACAGGGUUU